AGUGAACGCUGGCGGCAGGCCUAAUACAUGCAAGUCGAACGGCAGCACAGCAGAGCUUGCUCUGUGGGUGGCGAGUGGCGGGACGGGUGAGGAAUACAUGGGAAUCUGCCCAGUCGUGGGGAUAACGUAGGGAAACUUACGUUAAUACCGCAUGCGCCCUUCGGGGAAAGCCGGGGACCUUCGGGCCUGGCGCGAUUGGAUGAGCCCAUGUCGGAUUAGCUAGUUGGCGGGGUAAUGGCCCACCAAGGCGACGAUCCGUAGCUGGUCUGAGAGGAUGAUCAGCCACACUGGAACUGAGACACGGUCCAGACUCCUACGGGAGGCAGCAGUAGGGAAUAUUGGACAAUGGGCGCAAGCCCUGAUCCAGCCAUGCCGCGUGAGUGAAGAAGG
RNAcentral lists this ribosomal RNA (390 nucleotides) under uncultured bacterium. Its description in RNAcentral is "bacterial SSU rRNA". It matches the Rfam family "Bacterial small subunit ribosomal RNA", at positions 29 to 414 of the family's 1533-position model. The record is from RNAcentral.